This 575-nucleotide ribosomal RNA is filed under the name uncultured bacterium. RNAcentral describes it as "bacterial SSU rRNA". It matches the Rfam family "Bacterial small subunit ribosomal RNA", at positions 338 to 915 of the family's 1533-position model. The record is from RNAcentral.
CCUACGGGAGGCAGCAGUGAGGAAUAUUGGACAAUGGGCGCAAGCCUGAUCCAGCCAUGCCGCGUGCAGGAAGAAGCAUCUAUGGUGUGUAAACUGCUUUUGUACAGGAAGAAACACUCCCUCGUGAGGGAGCUUGACGGUACUGUAAGAAUAAGGACCGGCUAACUCCGUGCCAGCAGCCGCGGUAAUACGGAGGGUCCGAGCGUUAUCCGGAAUCAUUGGGUUUAAAGGGUCCGUAGGCGGUUUAAUAAGUCAGUGGUGAAAUCUGGUCGCUCAACGAUCAAACGGCCAUUGAUACUGUUAGACUUGGAUUAUAAGGAAGUAACUAGAAUAUGUAGUGUAGCGGUGAAAUGCUUAGAUAUUACAUGGAAUACCAAUUGCGAAGGCAGGUUACUACUUAUGGAUUGACGCUGAUGGACGAAAGCGUGGGGAGCGAACAGGAUUAGAUACCCUGGUAGUCCACGCCGUAAACGAUGGAUACUAGCUGUUCGGAGCAAUCUGAGUGGCUAAGCGAAAGUGAUAAGUAUCCCACCUGGGGAGUACGUUCGCAAGAAUGAAACUCAAAGGAAUUGACG